This 466-nucleotide ribosomal RNA is filed under the name Vreelandella stevensii. RNAcentral's name for it is "partial 16S ribosomal RNA". It matches the Rfam family "Bacterial small subunit ribosomal RNA", at positions 338 to 795 of the family's 1533-position model. The record is from RNAcentral. Lineage: Bacteria; Pseudomonadati; Pseudomonadota; Gammaproteobacteria; Oceanospirillales; Halomonadaceae.
CCUACGGGUGGCAGCAGUGGGGAAUAUUGGACAAGGGGGGGAACCCUGAUCCAGCCAUGCCGCGUGUGUGAAGAAGGCCCUCGGGUUGUAAAGCACUUUCAGUGAGGAAGAACGCCUGGUGGUUAAUACCCAUCAGGAAAGACAUCACUCACAGAAGAAGCACCGGCUAACUCCGUGCCAGCAGCCGCGGUAAUACGGAGGGGUGCGAGCGUUAAUCGGAAUUACUGGGCGUAAAGCGCGCGUAGGUGGCUUGAUAAGCCGGUUGUGAAAGCCCCGGGCUCAACCUGGGAACGGCAUCCGGGACUGUCAAGCUAGAGUGCAGGAGAGGAAGGUAGAAUUCCCGGUGUAGCGGUGAAAUGCGUAGAGCUCGGGAGGAAUACCAGUGGCGAAGGCGGCCUUCUGGACUGACACUGACACUGAGGUGCGAACGCGUGGGUAGCAAACAGGAUUAGAUACCCUGGUAGUC